RNAcentral lists this transfer RNA (69 nucleotides) under Scyllarides squammosus. RNAcentral's name for it is "tRNA-Gln". The record is from RNAcentral. Lineage: Eukaryota; Metazoa; Arthropoda; Malacostraca; Decapoda; Scyllaridae.
UAUACGCUGGUGUAAAGGGCACGAAGAUUUUUGGUGUCUUAAGGAAUGGUGUGAUUCCAUUGUGUGUAA